GACGAACGCUGGCGGCGUGCUUAACACAUGCAAGUCGAACGAGUUGCGAACGGUUGAGUAAUACGUGAGUAACCUGCCCUCUUUUUGGGAUAAGCCUUGUAAACGGGGUCUAAUACCGGAUAUAGGGGGCUGGGCUCGCGGCCUAUCAGCUUGUUGGUGGGGUGAUGGCCUACCAAGGCGGUGCAGGGUAGCCGGCCUGAGAGGGUGACAGGCCACAUUGGGAGUGAGGUAAGGCACAGACUCAGACGGGAGGCAGCAGUGGGGGAUAUUGAGCAAUGGGCGAAAGCCUGAUGCAGAGACGCCGCGGGGGGGGUGAAGGCUUUUGGGUUGUAAACGUCUUUCGCUAGCGAACGGGUAGGUGGAGAAGAAGCGCCGGCUAACUACGUGCCAGCAGCCGCGGUAAUAC
This 406-nucleotide ribosomal RNA is filed under the name uncultured bacterium. Its description in RNAcentral is "partial 16S ribosomal RNA". It matches the Rfam family "Bacterial small subunit ribosomal RNA", at positions 28 to 526 of the family's 1533-position model. The record is from RNAcentral.